UGAUGCCCACUGACCACAAUACUACAUAUACUUGUCUUUCAAUAUUUUCUGACUAACAGUAGGCCAUAUUCAACUAUGAAGGUUUAUGUGUACAAAGAAUACUACAUUUUUUCUGUGACCAACCUUUUUCGUAGCAACAGGACGGCCACCACCACCAGCAGAAUAACAGCCACUCCAGCCACAGCUCCCAUCACCAUGGUGGAAGGGUUCUGGAUCUGAGACUCGGCUGUGAAGAGAGGCGGGACAAGCAAUGAGAUGACAUGAAAGUGGGAUUUGACUUGAUUGACUGAGAUUGAGUGAGAGCGCUACCUAGUGGGGCCGUGUGGAACUCGUACUCCAUGCUAAUCAGGACCGUGUAAGUGGUUACGUCACGCUCUCCAUCUCCAUCCUUCAAAGGCAAGGUUGAAAGACGUGGAUUAAGAUCAUCUUCCAUCAAAACAACAAGGAGCCCCUCGGUGGAAUGUCCGCACACAAGAAGCACUCUGUCUUACUUUUCUGCGGUACAUCAGCUCAUAGCGAUGACUGAUGUGGGCUGGAGGUCUGCGAGACAGAGCCCACGAAAGAGACAGGCUGUUGGGGCUGCGAUCAUCCAGAUGGAUCAGCGUCACCUUUGGGGGAUCUAAGGGUGGCCAGCUGUCCUUCCCAUAUUUUUCGGGUCAGAGCAAACCCUUUUGAAGAAGAUGGCACAAAAGAGAGAAAAAA
Non-coding RNA from Doryrhamphus excisus (bluestripe pipefish), 702 nucleotides. The record is from RefSeq and is a predicted model, not a curated record. NCBI's taxonomy places the organism in Eukaryota, Metazoa, Chordata, Actinopteri, Syngnathiformes, Syngnathidae.